Molecule: ribosomal RNA, 892 nt
Filed under: uncultured Cryptophyta
Lineage: Eukaryota; Cryptophyceae
Description: bacterial SSU rRNA
Rfam family: Eukaryotic small subunit ribosomal RNA
Source: RNAcentral
GCUCGUAGUCGGAUUUCGGGCACUAGUGAACGGUACGCCUCUGGGUGGACACUAGUUGUCUGACUUUCUGCUUGGGAUGCCCUGUGAUGCCCUUCUGUGGGGGUGGGUCGCAGGCCGUUUACUUUGUUUAAAUUAAAGUGAGCGCUGCAGGCUGGUGCUUGACCUGAUUAACGUGGAAUGAUGGAAUAGGACCUUGCCGCUAUUCCAUUGGGUUGGGUACUGGGAUAAUGAUUAAUAUGAACAGUUGGGGCCGAUCGUAUUUUUCUGUUUGAGGUGAAAUUCUUGAAUUUCUUGGAUAUGAACUUGAGCAAAAACUGUCAAAAAGGAUGUUUUCAUUGAUCUCAAUCAAAAGUAACGGGAUCUAAAAGUAUCAAAACCAUUCGAUACCUUCCCCAUAAACUAUGCCAACUAGGGAUCAUUGAGUGUCAAUGUAGUACCUCAUUGGCACCUUGUGAGAAAUUCCAGUAAAUGGGUUCCGGGGGGAGUAUGGUCAAGAGGCUGAAACUUAAAGGAAUUGACGGAAUGGAACCAAAGGGCACCGCAGCCUGCGGAUCCUUUUGACUUAAUUUGACUCAAACUUACCAAAUCUCACACGGCCCCAGACACUGACAGAUUGAAAGCUCUUUCUUGUCUUUCUGGGUGGUGGGGCAUGGCCGUUCUGACCUGGCUUAGUGAUUUGACUGGUUAAUUCCGUUAAUUAACAUAACCUCCGACUGUCUACUCUGCAUGCCCAUUUUUCAUGGUUAGCCCGCUUCUUACAUCGACUAUUCACGUUCAACGAAUGGCUACUCGAGGUUGAGCCAUGUCUGGGAUGUGAUGACAUGAUAUGUGCCGCGCGCCCCGCUACACUGAUGUGUACGGCUAGCUCUGCCCUUGCUGCUCAGACCCGAGU